RNAcentral lists this transfer RNA (81 nucleotides) under Tubulinosema ratisbonensis. RNAcentral's name for it is "tRNA-Leu". Lineage: Eukaryota; Fungi; Microsporidia; Tubulinosematidae. The record is from RNAcentral.
UGGUGUCGGUGGGACUCGAACCCACGCUCCCUCAAGAAAUCGAUCUUAAGCCGAUCGCCUUAACCGCUCGGCCACGACACC